Molecule: transfer RNA, 77 nt
Filed under: Acidimicrobiaceae bacterium
Lineage: Bacteria; Bacillati; Actinomycetota; Acidimicrobiia; Acidimicrobiales; Acidimicrobiaceae
Description: tRNA-Pro
Rfam family: tRNA
About the family: Transfer RNA (tRNA) molecules are approximately 80 nucleotides in length. Their secondary structure includes four short double-helical elements and three loops (D, anti-codon, and T loops).
Source: RNAcentral
CGGGGUGUAGCUCAGCUUGGAAGAGCACCUGCUUUGGGAGCAGGGGGCCGCUGGUUCAAAUCCAGUCACCCCGACCA